UACGUAGGGGGCAAGCGUUGUCCGGAUUUAUUGGGCGUAAAGAGCGUGUAGGCGGCUUUACGGGUCCGUUGUGAAAACUCGAGGCUCAACCUCGAGACGCCGGUGGAAACCGUAAAGCUAGAGUCCGGAAGAGGAGAGUGGAAUUCCUGGUGUAGCGGUGAAAUGCGCAGAUAUCAGGAAGAACACCCGUGGCGAAGGCGGCUCUCUGGGACGGUACUGACGCUGAGACGCGAAAGCGUGGGGAGCGAACAGG
RNAcentral lists this ribosomal RNA (253 nucleotides) under uncultured bacterium. RNAcentral describes it as "partial 16S ribosomal RNA". It matches the Rfam family "Bacterial small subunit ribosomal RNA", at positions 524 to 776 of the family's 1533-position model. The record is from RNAcentral.